This 804-nucleotide long non-coding RNA is filed under the name Mytilus galloprovincialis (Mediterranean mussel). Lineage: Eukaryota; Metazoa; Mollusca; Bivalvia; Mytilida; Mytilidae. The record is from RNAcentral.
GUAAAUUGUUUAAAUAAUGACACAAUGUGUGUAAAUUGUUGAAUUUAUUACAUGAUUUUAACAACCAAAUGUAAAUAUAUACUUCUAAAGUAUAAAAUAAUAUCUUUUUUAGGGAUGAAUUCUUUCAAAUCAAUUAGUAUUUUACAAUAUAAAUAAUUCAUUCUGAAGAACAUUGGAAGACUUUUUAAACUAAAAAUGUCUGAUUUUUAUGCACUUUUUUUGAUCACUUUUAUUGGUUUCUACUUAAAAAACUUUUCAGGUCAAUAUAAGGUCAAUAAAACAAUUGCAAUUCUUUGAGAUAGCAAAAUAUGAUUUCCUUUUAGAAAACAAAGCUUUCAUAUAAUUAUUGUGAUGAAAUUUUUAAUAAAAAAGCAACAGGAAAAACUCUUUUUAGAGAUAUCUUAUUUUACUAAAAUUGAAAUAUAACAGUUCAUAAAAAUUUACAUUAUAAUAACUUACUGAAAAUUCAUCAUUGGUAUCAACCUACCUCCAUCAAAAACAAUUUAAAUCUGGAGACAUUUUACAUGAUUAAGCACCAAGCAGAUAUAUUAUGAGGUUAUUUAUCUUUAAGUUUAUAAGAAAACAUAUGAAAGCAGGAGUACUGUAAAGUUCCAUAACUCUCCCCAGAAACUCUCUUCCAGGGAACUAUAUCUCCCAAAACAAUAAAGGGCUGCAUACAGUCACUGAUUACCCUUUCAAAAACUGAGUUGACAUAAAUAUGUGAAUAUACAAUUAAAUGACAUGAUUAAGAGGGAAAAUAACAAUCUUAUUACUACAAGGUGACAUGAUUAAGAUGGAAAAAUA